RNAcentral lists this small nuclear RNA (23 nucleotides) under Arabidopsis thaliana (thale cress). Its description in RNAcentral is "snRNA_03895". Lineage: Eukaryota; Viridiplantae; Streptophyta; Magnoliopsida; Brassicales; Brassicaceae. The record is from RNAcentral.
GAUCGGAUUUCCUUACCGGCAAA